Non-coding RNA from Pelobates cultripes (western spadefoot toad), 90 nucleotides. The record is from the annotation of a GenBank genome assembly. NCBI's taxonomy places the organism in Eukaryota, Metazoa, Chordata, Amphibia, Anura, Pelobatidae.
GUGUGUGUGUGUAUAUGUGUGUGUGUGUGUGUGUGUAUUUAGAUAUAUAUAUCUAUAUACACACACAUACAUACAUACAUAAAUACAUAG